This 445-nucleotide ribosomal RNA is filed under the name uncultured bacterium. RNAcentral's name for it is "partial 16S ribosomal RNA". It matches the Rfam family "Bacterial small subunit ribosomal RNA", at positions 354 to 796 of the family's 1533-position model. The record is from RNAcentral.
GUGAGGAAUAUUGCGCAAUGGAGGCAACUCUGACGCAGCCAUGCCGCGUGCAGGAAGAAGGCGCUACGCGUUGUAAACUGCUUUUAACCGGGAAGAAACCCCAGGACGUGUCCUGGGUUGACGGUACCGGAGGAAUAAGCACCGGCUAACUUCGUGCCAGCAGCCGCGGUAAUACGAAGGGUGCAAGCGUUAUCCGGAUUCAUUGGGUUUAAAGGGUGCGUAGGCGGAUCGUUAAGUCAGUGGUGAAAUCCUGCAGCUUAACUGUAGACUUGCCAUUGAUACUGGCGCUCUUGAGUGCGCUUGAAGUGGGCGGAAUGUGCCGUGUAGCGGUGAAAUGCUUAGAUAUGGCACAGAACACCAAUUGCGAAGGCAGCUCACUAAGGCGAUACUGACGCUGAGGCACGAAAGCGUGGGGAUCGAACAGGAUUAGAAACCCGAGUAGUCC